RNAcentral lists this ribosomal RNA (1229 nucleotides) under metagenome. Its description in RNAcentral is "bacterial SSU rRNA". It matches the Rfam family "Bacterial small subunit ribosomal RNA", at positions 273 to 1498 of the family's 1533-position model. The record is from RNAcentral.
GCGACGAUCAGUAGCGGGUCUGAGAGGAUGAUCCGUCACACUGGAACUGAGACACGGUCCAGACUCCUACGGGAGGCAGCAGUGGGGAAUUUUGGACAAUGGGGGCAACCCUGAUCCAGCCAUUCCGCGUGAGUGAAGAAGGCCUUCGGGUUGUAAAGCUCUUUCAGCCGGAACGAAACGGUAUUCCUUAAUACGGGAUGCUAAUGACGGUACCGGCAGAAGAAGCACCGGCUAACUACGUGCCAGCAGCCGCGGUAAUACGUAGGGUGCGAGCGUUAAUCGGAAUUACUGGGCGUAAAGCGUGCGCAGGCGGAUUGUUAAGCAAGAUGUGAAAUCCCCGGGCUUAACCUGGGAAUGGCAUUUUGAACUGGCAGUCUAGAGUGUGUCAGAGGGGGGUGGAAUUCCACGUGUAGCAGUGAAAUGCGUAGAUAUGUGGAGAAACACCAAUGGCGAAGGCAGCCCCCUGGGAUAACACUGACGCUCAUGUACGAAAGCGUGGGUAGCAAACAGGAUUAGAUACCCUGGUAGUCCACGCCCUAAACGAUGUCAACUGGUUGUUGGGGGAGUGAAAUCCCUUAGUAACGAAGCUAACGCGUGAAGUUGACCGCCUGGGGAGUACGGUCGCAAGAUUAAAACUCAAAGGAAUUGACGGGGACCCGCACAAGCGGUGGAUGAUGUGGAUUAAUUCGAUGCAACGCGAAAAACCUUACCUACCCUUGACAUGUCCAGAAUCCUGCAGAGAUGCGGGAGUGCCCGAAAGGGAAUUGGAACACAGGUGCUGCAUGGCUGUCGUCAGCUCGUGUCGUGAGAUGUUGGGUUAAGUCCCGCAACGAGCGCAACCCUUAUCAUUAGUUGCUACGCAAGGGCACUCUAAUGAGACUGCCGGUGACAAACCGGAGGAAGGUGGGGAUGACGUCAAGUCCUCAUGGCCCUUAUGGGUAGGGCUUCACACGUCAUACAAUGGUCGGUACAGAGGGUUGCCAAGCCGCGAGGUGGAGCCAAUCCCAGAAAGCCGAUCGUAGUCCGGAUUGUUCUCUGCAACUCGAGAGCAUGAAGUCGGAAUCGCUAGUAAUCGCGGAUCAGAAUGUCGCGGUGAAUACGUUCCCGGGUCUUGUACACACCGCCCGUCACACCAUGGGAGUGGAAUCUGCCAGAAGUAGGUAGCCUAACCGCAAGGAGGGCGCUUACCACGGUGGGUUUCAUGACUGGGGUGAAGUCGAAACAAGGUA